This is a long non-coding RNA of Myotis daubentonii (Daubenton's bat), 1847 nucleotides long. RefSeq lists it as uncharacterized. The record is from RefSeq and is a predicted model, not a curated record. NCBI's taxonomy places the organism in Eukaryota, Metazoa, Chordata, Mammalia, Chiroptera, Vespertilionidae.
GAGGCAGCAGAGAGGCGCCGGCUGCUCCGCGCCCGCCCGGCCGCCCGCCCGCCCCGCCGGGAGGGGCCGCGCGCCGGGCCAGCCGAGCGCCGGGGACCAGAGGCUGCCGCGCGCCCGGGGGAGGAGAUGCUGCGCCGCCGCCGCCGCCGCCUGCACCCGGGGGCCGCGAGGGGCCGGGCCGGGCCCGGGCGCCGGGGACAGACCCGGAGAGCGCGGCCUGGGCCGGAGGAAGGGUGGCCUUUCCCGCAGAGUUGCAGCGAGAGGACUGAAAGUUUUCGCCUGCAGCCCUUGCAGGGUGUCCUGCCCUCGAGGGGCCUCCGCACGGAUCCCCGCGGCUGAGUGGGGUGGAGACGAGCAGGUUGGCCACCUCCGGCCCCCACCCCCACCCCCACGACCACGCCAGGCCGGGGAAGGGACCCCGGUGACUUCGCAUCCCAUGCACCACCCCCUUGACCCGUCCUUCCCUUUCACGGGGGACCUUGGACCUGGAGGGCUCCGCGAACGCCUCUGGGACCUGAGACCGGAGAGUGGAUGGGAGUGGUUCUAAAUAAAUAGCAGCUACUGCCUGCAAUGGGCCAGGCGCCCUGCAGCGAAGGAAAGCAAAUGAGAUCCAGCCCGGUCUCCGCGGAAGAAGGAAGGCGUGAAACUUCUUGGGAAAACAAGACCCGCACACAAUAUUGGGACACAGACACAGACAGGCAUGAGGCAAGAUGAUGUGAAGAGACACCGGGAGAAAAGAGCCACUCACAAAGCAAGGAGAGGCCCAGCACAGACCCUGUCCUCAGCGCUCAGAAGGAACCAGCUCUGCCUACACCUGGAUUUUGGACGUCUAGCCUCCAGAACUGUGUGACCACACAGAUGUGUUGUUGAAGCCACCCAGUGUGUGGAGUUUUGUUCUGGCAGCCACAGCACAUUAUUCGUGUGCUAUGAGCCUCAGUGGUUUCUUACAGCCCAUUUGUCACCAGUCAAGUGUGCCAGGAGCAGGUGCUGAGACAAUAUUUGGGGUGCAAAAUGUUUAUUAGGGAUCAAACCCUGUAAGAGGAAGGGGAAGGAGCCAUCAUAAGAAACAAAUGCAAAUGACAUGACACCAGUUAACAUAUAUGGCCAGCUAGUCCUGCUUUAAAAAUAGAAAAAGCUCAAAAUAAUUGAAUAUCAGAAAAAGUAUAGAUGAUCUUCAAACUUGAUUUAUACCUAUUACACUCUUUAUUAGUUUAUAAAGAGUAUAACAUAAUUAAGGGUUUAUCUAUUUUCAUAUGGAGGGAGCUUUAUAAUCUACUAGUAUAACUUGGAUGGAAUUUUUAAUGCUAAUAACAAUAUUUUACUAAUGUUAAGACAAUACUAAUAUUUAGUUAGAAUUUAAGUCAAUAUAAUUUAAGGUAAAUUUUUUUUCAAAAAAGGGUGGGGAAAGGAUUAAGAUUGGGCAGAGGGAAAAGUUGAAUGAUAAUGUACAUGCAAGGAGGCAUCAAGCAAACCAGUGUCGAGCUCUGGACUUAAUGUUAUCCACCAGGGUUGUCUUGCAUUGGGUCAAAAUGCCUGGGACUUUCUCCCCAUCAGGCUCAGUCACUGGAUACAGGCUGCCACAGGAAAGGUGGCCGCAGGCAAGGAGGCUCUACUGAAGCCGACCCUGAAGGAGUGGGCAGUGGAGGUUUCCUUGAAGGGAACCUGUCUACACAUCUCACAUCUCCCACUCCACUCGUGGGAUAGUGAAGAACAGUACACCGUUAAAAUAUUUUAGUCAGUCUACAUAUCUUGAAUACCUUUAACUUCAUCAACAAGAGUCCAUUUCUAAUACCAUACUUAUUGACAAAGAACUAAUUUCAACAAUAAAAAUUAAUUUCUGACAUUCA